CACAAGAUUUUGAGAACCCAGAUUCAAAUAAAGAAAUAGAUAUGGCCAGGUGCGAUGGCUCACGCCUGUAAUCCCAGCACUUUGGGAGGCCGAGGCGGGCGGAUCACGAGAGACAGGGUCUUGCUCUAUUGUCCAGGCUGGAUUCAACCUUGUGGGCUCAAGUGAUCCUCCUGCCUCAGCCUCUGGAGUAGCUGGG
Molecule: long non-coding RNA, 196 nt
Organism: Homo sapiens (human)
Lineage: Eukaryota; Metazoa; Chordata; Mammalia; Primates; Hominidae
Source: Ensembl